CGAAGGGUGCAAGCGUUACUCGGAAUUACUGGGCGUAAAGCGUGCGUAGGUGGUGAGUUAAGUCUGUCGUGAAAGCCCCGGGCUCAACCUGGGAAUGGCGAUGGAUACUGGCUCGCUAGAGUGCGGUAGAGGAGAGUGGAAUUCCCGGUGUAGCAGUGAAAUGCGUAGAGAUCGGGAGGAACAUCAGUUGCGAAGGCGGCUCUCUGGACCAGCACUGACACUGAGGCACGAAAGCGUGGGGAGCAAACAGGAUUAGAUACCCUGGUAGUCCACGCCCUAAACGAUGCGAACUGGACGUUGGGAGCAAUUAGGCUCUCAGUGUCGAAGCUAACGCGUUAAGUUCGCCGCCUGGGGAGUACGGUCACAAGACUG
This 372-nucleotide ribosomal RNA is filed under the name uncultured organism. RNAcentral's name for it is "bacterial SSU rRNA". It matches the Rfam family "Bacterial small subunit ribosomal RNA", at positions 526 to 896 of the family's 1533-position model. The record is from RNAcentral.